UACGAAGGACCCGAGCGUUAUCCGGAUUUAUUGGGUUUAAAGGGUGCGUAGGCGGAUUAAUAAGUCAGUGGUGAAAGCCCGUCGCUUAACGGCGGAACUGCCAUUGAUACUGUUAGUCUUGAGUAUGGUUGAGGUGGGCGGAAUGUGUCAUGUAGCGGUGAAAUGCUUAGAUAUGACCCAGAACACCAAUUGCGAAGGCAGCUCGCUAAGCCAUAACUGACGCUGAUGCACGAAAGCGUGGGGAGCAAACAGG
This 253-nucleotide ribosomal RNA is filed under the name uncultured bacterium. Its description in RNAcentral is "partial 16S ribosomal RNA". It matches the Rfam family "Bacterial small subunit ribosomal RNA", at positions 524 to 776 of the family's 1533-position model. The record is from RNAcentral.